Molecule: ribosomal RNA, 301 nt
Filed under: uncultured bacterium
Lineage: Bacteria
Description: partial 16S ribosomal RNA
Rfam family: Bacterial small subunit ribosomal RNA
Source: RNAcentral
CAGUAGCCGCGGUAAUACGAAGGGGGCUAGCGUUGCUCGGAAUGACUGGGCGUAAAGGGCGCGUAGGCGGCGAUCAAAGUCAGGCGUGAAAUUCCUGGGCUCAACCUGGGGGCUGCGCUUGAUACUUGGUUGCUUGAGUGGGGAAGAGGGUCGUGGAAUUCCCAGUGUAGAGGUGAAAUUCGUAGAUAUUGGGAAGAAUACCGGUGGCGAAGGCGGCGACCUGGUCCUUGACUGUCGCUGAGGCGCGAAAGCGUGGGGAGCAAACAGGAUUAGAUACCCCCGUAGUCCCUGUCUCUUAUAC